Molecule: ribosomal RNA, 386 nt
Filed under: uncultured soil bacterium
Lineage: Bacteria
Description: bacterial SSU rRNA
Rfam family: Bacterial small subunit ribosomal RNA
Source: RNAcentral
AGGACGAACGUUGGCGGCGUGCCUUACACAUGCAAGUCGUACGCGAAAGGGGAAUCCAGCUUGCUGGGGACCCCCGGUAGAGUGGCGAACGGGAGCGUAACACGUGAGGAACCUGCCUCGGAGUGGGGAAUAACCCAGAGAAAUCUGGGCUAAUUCCGCAUGAUGCAGCGGCCCCGCAUGGGGACAGUUGUGAAAGACCGCCUCUGCUUGCAAGCGGUCGCUUCGAGAUGGUCUCGCGGCCUAUCAGCUAGUUGGCGGGUAAUGGCCCACCAAGGCGACGACGGGUAGCCGGCCUGAGAGGGUGUCCGGCCUCAUUGGGACUGAGACACGGCCCAGACUCCGUACGGGAGCAGCAGUGAGGAAUCUUGCGCAAGUGGGCGAAAGCC